CCUGCCUCUCCCACCCACUUUCUCAAAAUAAAUAAUAAAUGAACAGUAAAAACAUACUUUGGCACUGGCUGUGUGAGAGGUGUGUUUGGGUAAGUGAGACAUCAGCCUGCACCCUGGGGGGUGCAUCUAGUCAAGGGUGCAAUUCUGCAAGACCCCAGUUGGGAGCCACUGUCCGGAAUCCUGUUGCUAGUCUGCACAACCUUAGGGGUACCACUCAAAGACAAUAGGAGUUGUGCUCCAGAAGUAAGGCAAUACAUCUGCCUGGGUCCAGCAGUGACUGAGGUGAAGGUUUUCUGAUAUCACAAUCAGAAUGUGGAGGGUCCUCCUUCAGUGUAAGGGAUGUUGGAAAUAAUGAGAAUGUUAGCGUGACUGUAUUUGUAACUGCCUGCUAAUAAGUGUUUCCAUGGUGACAGAAUUCUUCUAAGACUUGGCUUUCAUUGAAAGAGUCACCUGGCAGUGAGGAUGUACUUUGUAUUCUGGAUAUCACUCUUUCUCCAGGAGGAGCUGGAAAGAUUCACCUCUGACGUUGAAUGAUUUUACUUGUAUUGUGAGAGCUGUGUGGCAUAGCUGAGUCACAGCAAAUACAGUGUCUGGUCUCAUUGCCCCCAUCGACCUUGUGAGCUGGGGCCCCAAGAACAUAGCCUCAAUUUCCUCUUCUGAAAAAUGAGGACAUUAAUUUUUGCCUGCCUUCUUCACAGAGUUCAAAGGAAUGUAAAAGCACGAUGAACACCAUAAGGAAUCAUAAAGCACGAGCUCCUGAAUCCUGUGAGUUUUUUUGUGAAUCAUCAAGCCCGGGGGUGGUUUGGGGGCUCCUGACACAGCUGGCCAAGCAGACUCUCACAGAUCCUCUUCUCCCAGAUGGCACACAUUUCUAAAAUGGAAGCCCUGAGGCACGAUUCAUUGAAACUCAUUCUCAUCCGUUACAUUGCAUUAAAAUCUUGA
Herpailurus yagouaroundi (jaguarundi) is the source of this 942-nucleotide long non-coding RNA. RefSeq lists it as uncharacterized. The record is from RefSeq and is a predicted model, not a curated record. The transcript is spliced from 3 exons. Lineage: Eukaryota; Metazoa; Chordata; Mammalia; Carnivora; Felidae.